Long non-coding RNA from Dreissena polymorpha, 197 nucleotides. RefSeq lists it as uncharacterized. Lineage: Eukaryota; Metazoa; Mollusca; Bivalvia; Myida; Dreissenidae. The record is from RefSeq and is a predicted model, not a curated record. The transcript has 3 exons.
AUUAUAAGGCUAUUAUGCUGUUUAUAUACCAUACUCGCUACAACGUUUACAAAUGGCAGAUACCUUGCAUGGACCCACGGUGCCUGUACCACGUGACUUUUUCGGCUAUGUGUGGGACAAUCGGCUGUCAACAACCCAUCGCUUCAGAUUUGCGAGGUGACCAGUUUCGAGACAUUGGUUCGCUCCUGCUUGUGUAC